UCACAACAUUUAACACUCACACAUAGUCAAUGAGGUCGCAAUUAAAUGUUGAAAUUACUAAAUUAAAAAACAAUUUCAUAAAUGAGUUUUAUGUCACACUGAGAAAUCCUAAAUAACAGACACACUGCAGCCAUUGUUACAUCAUUUUCUGUUGUGUUUAUAAUAAAUAUUUCU
Molecule: long non-coding RNA, 174 nt
Organism: Thalassophryne amazonica
Lineage: Eukaryota; Metazoa; Chordata; Actinopteri; Batrachoidiformes; Batrachoididae
Exons: 3
Source: RefSeq, a predicted model, not a curated record